Non-coding RNA from Paramuricea clavata, 1525 nucleotides. NCBI's taxonomy places the organism in Eukaryota, Metazoa, Cnidaria, Anthozoa, Malacalcyonacea, Plexauridae. The record is from the annotation of a GenBank genome assembly.
CUGACAUUAAUAAAUACGUAGUUUGCAUUGAAAUUAAUAAAUAUAGAGUGGUAACGAAACGUAUGAGAAUAAGAAUAAAAUAAAUUUUGACACACACAUAGCCAUGCACCUGCAGAAUUAACAGCGUCUUCAAUCUUACAAGGAACAUUACCGCAAGGCAUGGUUGAAAAGUGUUCUUGAUUUUAACAAAAGCGUUUAGUAUUCACAAUAAAGUUCUGAACGAUUAGGAAAAGAUUAGCAUUUGUAUGUUGCGAAACGUCAGGAUGACCGUUCAAAAACCAUGAUAAACGCAUUUUGCUUGUUGAAUUUAACCAUUUGGAACCAAGUAAAUGUGCAGCGGAAGCAAAAAGAACAGCGCGAUGAGCAGCAUAUCGGCCACAGUCAAAGAAGAAAUGACUGACAGUCUCACUGGUUGAACCACAAGAACAUGAUGGCGAUGGCACGCAAUUUAUUAAGAACAAAUAAUGAUUUAAGGUACAAUGAAAUAGACGAAAACGAGUAUGAAGUAUGGAGGCAUAGCGAUUACCAAUAUAGAACAAUGAAUUUGGAAUUGGAUCAUCACGCCAAACAUUGAUAAAAAAUUCAUUGAUUUCUUUUGUAUUUUCCUCAUAACUGUAGUGUAGAUAACUUACAUGCCUAGUUACCAGGGACGCCGGAACGAUGUGAAGGCAAGGGGGGCAGAUUUUCGUGAAAGGGCACUUUUGAAUUGAUAUAUACUAAGAGAUGUUUGCACUUUGAAAAACAUCGGGAGUUGAACUUCGCCUAAUCAUGUUUUUUAUUUUUGGAUGAUAGGGGUGUGAGGGGGUUCUCCGCCAGGCGAUUGUGCUAUUCUUGAAACUCGAUGCUGCAUUUCUUGCGUUUUCUGAAGCAAAUUCGCAAAAGAAUUGCACUAACAUUUCUGACAAUUCGCCAUUUCGCCAAGGCAAUCCUUUAAAUUGAAAGGGCACCUUUGCCCCCCUUGCCCCUCCUGGUAAAGGGCAACGGGGGGCGGCUGCCCCUCCUGCCCCCCAGUUCCGGCGUCCCUGCUAGUUACUACUGUUUUAGUUUACUGCAGAAGCAUAUAAUAGACCAAAGUACCGAAGCAUUGGAUACUUGGAGUUAUGUAUAAGAGUCAUUUACUCAUGUACAUAAUUCUAGAGUUUAGUUGGGUAUAAACAAACGAUAGCCAAAUUUGUCUCAGCUUUUCAGGAAUUUUUACAAAGGUUUCAAAAAUCACUACCAGGCCUCGACUUCAUACAAUCGGCCCAAGUGCAUAUGAUUCCAAUUACCAAAAUACCUCGCCUAGUGGGAUAUUUUUCAUGGAUUAAGUCACAGCGAGACUGUAUAUUAAAGCAAAUAUUUCUCUGAAAUAAUAAUACUAAAAAAGGGCAGCGCUGCCCUCUUUAUUUUACCCUCUUGGCAUGGUUCCGAUAUGCAUUGUAAUUGGGAUCAUAAGCAAAUGUUUCAAAGAAUGUGUAGCUAUAGUUGUAUAUAAGAUAAUAUUGUUGCUGUAAAAAGAAAAUACAAAUAGAUCGAGUCAUAGUUU